RNAcentral lists this small RNA (452 nucleotides) under Pongo abelii (Sumatran orangutan). Its description in RNAcentral is "processed transcript". Lineage: Eukaryota; Metazoa; Chordata; Mammalia; Primates; Hominidae. The record is from RNAcentral.
CCUGGAGCAGCCUCUCCAUGGAUGAGAAAGUCGAGUGUGGUUCAAGGAGAGCUUUGCUGAGAUGAACAGGGGCUCGAACGAGUGGAAGACGGUUGUGGGCGGUGCCAUGUUCUUCAUCGGCUUCACCGCGCUCAUUAUCAUGUGGCAGAAGCGCCAUGUGUACGGCCCCCUCCCGCAAAGCUUUGACAAAGAGUGGGUGGCCAAGCAGACCAAGAGGAUGCUGGACAUGAAGGUGAACCCCAUCCAGGGCUUAGCCUCCAAGUGGGACUACGAAAAGAAUGAGUGGAAGAAGUGAGAGAUGCUGGCCUGCGCCUGCACCUGCGCCUGGCUCUGUCACCGCCAUGCAACUCCAUGCCUAUUUACUGGAAACCUGUUAUGCCAAACAGUUGUACCACUGCUAAUAAAUGACCAGUUUACCUGAAACCCUUUGUGAUCAGUUCUUUAAUGAUACC